GACGUAGGGCGCGAGCGUUGUCCGGAUUUAUUGGGCGUAAAGAGCUCGUAGGCGGCUUGUCGCGUCGUCCGUGAAAACUCACAGCUCAACUGUGGGCGUGCGGGCGAUACGGGCAGACUGGAGUACUGCAGGGGAGACUGGAAUUCCUGGUGUAGCGGUGGAAUGCGCAGAUAUCAGGAGGAACACCGGUGGCGAAGGCGGGUCUCUGGGCAGUAACUGACGCUGAGGAGCGAAAGCGUGGGGAGCGAACAGG
RNAcentral lists this ribosomal RNA (253 nucleotides) under uncultured bacterium. Its description in RNAcentral is "partial 16S ribosomal RNA". It matches the Rfam family "Bacterial small subunit ribosomal RNA", at positions 524 to 776 of the family's 1533-position model. The record is from RNAcentral.